AUUGAACGCUGGCGGAAUGCUUUACACAUGCAAGUCGAACGGUAGAGGGGGCAACCCCUUGAGAGUGGCGAACGGGUGAGUAAUAUAUCGGAACGUGCCCAGUCGUGGGGAUAACGUAGCGAAAGUUACGCUAAUACCGCAUACGAUCUAAGGAUGAAAGCGGGGGACUCGCAAGAGCCUCGCGCGAUUGGAGCGGCCGAUAUCAGAUUAGGUAGUUGGUGGGGUAAAGGCUCACCAAGCCAACGAUCUGUAGCUGGUCUGAGAGGACGACCAGCCACACUGGAACUGAGACACGGUCCAGACUCCUACGGGAGGCAGCAGUGGGGAAUUUUGGACAAUGGGCGCGAGCCUGAUCCAGCAAUGCCGCGUGCAGGAUGAAGGCCUUCGGUUGUAACUGCUUUGUACGGAACGAAACGGUGAGCUCUAAUACAGUUUGCUAAUGACGGUACCGU
Molecule: ribosomal RNA, 452 nt
Filed under: uncultured bacterium
Lineage: Bacteria
Description: bacterial SSU rRNA
Rfam family: Bacterial small subunit ribosomal RNA
Source: RNAcentral